RNAcentral lists this ribosomal RNA (306 nucleotides) under Triticum aestivum (bread wheat). RNAcentral describes it as "partial small subunit ribosomal RNA". Lineage: Eukaryota; Viridiplantae; Streptophyta; Magnoliopsida; Poales; Poaceae. The record is from RNAcentral.
AUGCCGGCGCAGGAUGAUAGAGAAGGAGAGGGUGACCUUGAUGGCCAGACAAGGGAGGACAAGGGUUGGUGGGAUGGGAUGGAUCUGUUCGGGAAGGUGAGAGGACAGAGACAAAGGGGGAGCAUGAGGUGCUCAACGUGGAGCAGCAGAGGACGCCGUGGAGGCGCUGUGGUGUGGCGUACGACGUCAAGGGGGAGGUGUGCAGGGGAGUUCCGCGGCGGCGGCACCAUGGAUACGGCGUCAAGGGAGAGGUGUGCAGGGGGGGUUCCGCGGCGGCGCCGCCAUGAAUCCACAUCCUGGUCGUGA